RNAcentral lists this transfer RNA (72 nucleotides) under Heterocephalus glaber (naked mole-rat). It matches the Rfam family "tRNA". Rfam says of the family: Transfer RNA (tRNA) molecules are approximately 80 nucleotides in length. Their secondary structure includes four short double-helical elements and three loops (D, anti-codon, and T loops). Further hydrogen bonds mediate the characteristic L-shaped molecular structure. tRNAs have two regions of fundamental functional importance: the anti-codon, which is responsible for specific mRNA codon recognition, and the 3' end, to which the tRNAs corresponding amino acid is attached (by aminoacyl-tRNA synthetases). tRNAs cope with the degeneracy of the genetic code in two manners: having more than one tRNA (with a specific anti-codon) for a particular amino acid; and 'wobble' base-pairing, i.e. permitting non-standard base-pairing at the 3rd anti-codon position. Lineage: Eukaryota; Metazoa; Chordata; Mammalia; Rodentia; Bathyergidae. The record is from Rfam by way of RNAcentral.
GGAGAUGUAGCUCAGUGAUAUAGCACUUGUUUACCAUGCACAAGGUCCUGGGUUCAAUCCCCAGCACUGCCG